CCUACGUGCGGCAGCAGUGAGGAAUAUUGGUCAAUGGGCGCGAGCCUGAACCAGCCAAGUAGCGUGAAGGAUGACUGCCCUACGGGUUGUAAACUUCUUUUAUAAAGGAAUAAAGUGAGGCACGUGUGCCUUUUUGUAUGUACUUUAUGAAUAAGGAUCGGCUAACUCCGUGCCAGCAGCCGCGGGAAUACGGAGGAUCCGAGCGUUAUCCGGAUUUAUUGGGUUUAAAGGGAGCGUAGAUGGGUUGUUAAGUCAGUUGUGAAAGUUUGCGGCUCAACCGUAAAAUUGCAAUUGAUACUGGCAGUCUUGAGUACAGUUGAGGUAGGCGGAAUUCGUGGUGUAGCGGUGAAAUGCUUAGAUAUCACGAAGAACUCCGAUUGCGAAGGCAGCUUACUAAACUGCCACUGACAUUGAUGCUCGAAAGUGUGGGUAUCAAACAGGAUUAGAUACCCCAGUAGUC
RNAcentral lists this ribosomal RNA (460 nucleotides) under uncultured bacterium. RNAcentral describes it as "partial 16S ribosomal RNA". It matches the Rfam family "Bacterial small subunit ribosomal RNA", at positions 338 to 795 of the family's 1533-position model. The record is from RNAcentral.